GAUGAACGCUGGCGGCGUGCUUAACACAUGCAAGUCGAACGAUGAAGCCCUGCUUGCUGGGUGCACUAGUGGCGAACGGGUGAGUAACACGUGAGUAACCUGCCCUUAACUCUGGGAUAAGCCUGGGAAACUGGGUCUAAUACCGGAUAGGAGCGCCUACCGCUUGGUGGGUGUUGGAAAGAUUUAUCGGUUUUGUAUGGACUCGGGCCCUAUCAGCUUGUUGGGGGGGAAAUGCCUAACCAAGGGGACCACGGGGGGCCGGCCUGAGAGGGUGACGGGCACCAUUGGGCCUGGGACACGCCCAAGACCCCAACGGGAGGAAGCGGUGGGGAAUAUUGACAAUUGGGGGAAAGCCGGUGGCGGCGCGGCGGGGUGGGGAAUAACGGCCUCCGGGUGGUAAACCUCUUUCAGAGGGGAAAAAGCGAUAGUGACGGUACCUAGAGAAGAAGCACCGGCUAACUACGUG
Molecule: ribosomal RNA, 466 nt
Filed under: uncultured bacterium
Lineage: Bacteria
Description: partial 16S ribosomal RNA
Rfam family: Bacterial small subunit ribosomal RNA
Source: RNAcentral